Long non-coding RNA from Drosophila miranda, 946 nucleotides. RefSeq lists it as uncharacterized. NCBI's taxonomy places the organism in Eukaryota, Metazoa, Arthropoda, Insecta, Diptera, Drosophilidae. The transcript has 2 exons. The record is from RefSeq and is a predicted model, not a curated record.
AUACCGCCCUCGCUAGCAUAGCUCGAAGAAAUUGGUGGAAUGCAGGAGAUCCAGAAGAUCAUCCGAUUGCACAGUUAUGUUAAAGCUUAAAGCUCAGCUUAGGCAUGCAAUAGGUACAGGCGAAUAGACUUUAUUCAUGUGAAAUCAUUCCCCUGCAUAGUUUCACUUACGGCACACGUAUAUAUAGAUUUUCGUGAUUUUCGCAAUCGCAGAGUGAAUGGUGAAGACACGUGGAGUUACAUAACUUCCAAUUUUUCACUAUUAUCUAAUCAUCCGCUGUUUAUAUGGAUUAAUAAAUCCGAAGAGUGGCGUUAGCUGAACUACCCGAGGGAAAAGUGAAAAUAAAGUGAAAUUCUUGAAAGAAGCAAAGGGAUAGGAGUACUGGAAAAUCUUAAUACAGCCAAGCCGGCCAACCAAUCUACGGUAUCAACUACUAAAACAACCAAGCUGACCGUUUGGGAGUUAGCGCAGUGCACAUCCACGGCGGCAAAGUGAAGGCUGAACCGUUGACGUUGGGCUAGCUCAAUAUCGGAAAUCAUUUACGGCUCGUGAAAGACCAACCACCAUACACCACUGCUGGACGUCCGAAUAUCAGUUUGAACCUGCCGAUCUCGUAAAAAAAAAAAGCCGGAGGACAUAAUCGUCACCAACCUACGAAAACUUACAAAGGAUUGAGUAAUUAGGCUAGCCUAAACCACAUUGCCUCAGAACCACUCUUGCUGUCAGCAGAUUUGUGUUUAUUUUGAUUCCCGUGUUUCUCAAAUUAAAUUUCAAGUGCAAGUUCCCGUUUGCCUUUAUCACUAUCACAUAAAAAUCUAUACGCUGCUGCUCUAAGAACCAGCUGAUUAGAUCCACAUAUUCAUAUCUCGUUUAUCAUUGUGUUGAUUAAUGUAGUAACUAAAUAGCUUCCUCCAAUGAGUAAAUUUGUAACGUAACUGACGAUUUU